CUCUCUAUCUCUAGCUCUCGUUCAUUUAUUUAUUUACGCGACCUGAUAACUCCAUUAUCCAUUUCAUUAACAGAGACAGUGACCAUCCACAGCUUUUAAAUCUUAAUCUUCCUUAUAAAAUCCCAGUUCAGAUCACGUAAUGUCGCUCUGCCUUUGUAAGAACACACAGGCGAGAAGUUGCACACAAAGUAAAAUAAACAAACAAACAGGCGUUCGUUGGUUUCUGCGCGUAAAAAGGAUUAAUGGGCUUAUGUAAAUUCAUCCUGAAAAUCUUUGCUGUCAACCUUUAACGAAUUACAAGCGUGUCUCUAUAAUAGCAGCCAGCUAUCACAACUCGAAGAAAAACAGGCUGACUUUGUUCAGAUAUCUGAAAAAUACUUUUUUUCUGGAUUUCUUUAUCUACGGAGCUGCAAGAAAGUAAUUUUCUUUUUAAACCAACAGAGUAAAAUACUUAUCAGACUUAACGCUAUACUUCUAAUUAAUGGAUUCAUAUAUGCAUUUUUGUAAGGAGGCGCUAAGGUGCAAUGGUAGUACUAAUGAAAAAAUGGGCGAUGCAACAGAGCAUGACUGACUUUAAAAGCUCCUACAGAGUGACCUCUGAGUAACCUGCUACUCUAGUAUUUAACAAUAAAAAAAAGCCAAAUAUCUUGGUACUUUUUUUUAGGAUGAGAAGCCCAGCAUAGGUGGGGUAGCAGACUCCCGUGGCUUUGAAUAUGUUUACGUGAGUCAGUCUGACCACUGGUGUUGAGUCACGAGCAGUUUAAGAAUAGGGUCCAUUGACGAGGGGAGCAGCCUAUAGGCUGCGUUUGCUUUGGCUGCAAGAGGAAAGUUUUUACUCCUGGACCAAGUUGAUCCAUAUGUCGCAUGUCACCAAGCAGCAUCUAACAUCUGGAGCCUUUUGUUACCAAAGGUGAUGGAAAAAGGGAGCUAUGAAGAGCUGCAGCUAGCAGGAAGUACACAUCAUCACAAGAUCUCUGGGAUUUUGCUCUCCACUGGACCCGUAUGAGGCUGGAUGAAGAUCAUAACCCAUAAAUGACUGGAGCCUCCACACCGAGGAUGUCAAGCCAAUUCAGCUGACCUCAGAGGUGGAUCGGCCAUCCAGAUGUGCAAGACAGAGGCCUGAAUUUCAGCAAAACAGAGGCUUCAAGAUCUCAGUUUAUACUGUCAACCUAUUUCUUUGUGUCUGACAACCAUUUCUAUAAGAUUGUUGACUAAACUGACAAAUGCUCUCAUCUCCAUUCUGAAAAUAGAAACCUCAUAACCCACUGUGACUUUGUUUUAAUAGGCAUCAGCGUGUUCAUUUUAUUUUCUGUUUUUUGGGAGAACACUUCUCAAAAUAGAUGUUCUGCACAUUAAAAUUUUUAUCCCAUGUAAAUGAUUGAGUUUUAUCAAGUAUAUUUUUGACAGCUAA
Melanotaenia boesemani (Boeseman's rainbowfish) is the source of this 1411-nucleotide long non-coding RNA. RefSeq lists it as uncharacterized. The transcript is spliced from 4 exons. Lineage: Eukaryota; Metazoa; Chordata; Actinopteri; Atheriniformes; Melanotaeniidae. The record is from RefSeq and is a predicted model, not a curated record.